ACUGUAUCAGACACUAACAGGUAAGGGUCAACAAGAAAUGUGAUAUGGGGUAGAAGGUUCAAAUUCUGCCUCUAGAUAGGAGCAAGCCUACGUCCCAGCAAGACUCCCAGAUAAACUAGCCUCUUACAACCAGAGGAGUGGAGCUGAGAGAGUGAGGAGCACAAGUGCAUAUACCUUGAUAGCACCAAAUAUAAACCGGAGAAAUGAGAUACAAAGAAAGUGAACAUUUAGGAAAUGAGCCCUGCUCCCCAGGAAGCCGACUCUGCACAGUGGUCUGGAGUGCCUGAAACCAGAGCAAGGGUCUCCACCUGUGGCACCGAGCCCUCAUUCCCUAGAGUCGCAUUGCGGAGCAGGAGCUGGCCAACCUGGAGAAGUGGAAGGAGCAGAACAGAGCUAAACCGGUUCACCUGGUGCCCAGACGGCUAGGUGGAAGCCAGUCAGAAACUGAAGUCAGACAGAAACAACAACUCCAGCUGAUGCAAUCUAAAUAUCAGCAAAAGCUAAAAAGAGAAGAAUCUGUAAGAAUCAAGAAGGAAG
Molecule: small RNA, 537 nt
Filed under: Pan troglodytes (chimpanzee)
Lineage: Eukaryota; Metazoa; Chordata; Mammalia; Primates; Hominidae
Description: processed transcript
Source: RNAcentral